UGUAGCGUACCUACUAGCCUACGACGGGUACGGGUUGUGAGAGCAAGAGCCCGGAGAUGGAUUCUGAGACACGAAUCCAGGCCCUACGGGGUGCAGCAGGCGCGAAAACUUUACAAUGCCGGCAACGGCGAUAAGGGGACCUCGAGUGCCAGGUUACAAAUCUGGCUGUCGUGAUGCCUAAAAAGCAUUGCAUAGCAAGGGCCGGGCAAGACCGGCGCCAGCCGCCGCGGUAACACCGGCGGCUCGAGUGGUAACCGUUAUUAUUGGGUCUAAAGGGUCUGUAGCCGGCCGGAUAAGUCUCUUGAGAAAUCCAGCAGCUCAACUGUUGGGCUUUCAGGAGAUACUGUUCGGCUCGAGGCCGGGAGAGGUGAGAGGUACUUCAGGGGUAGGGGUGAAAUCUUGUAAUCCUUGAAGGACCACCAGUGGCGAAGGCGUCUCACCAGAACGGACCUGACGGCAAGGGACGAAAGCUAGGGGCACGAACCGGAUUAGAUACCCGGGUAGUCCUAGCCGUAAACGAUACUCGCUAGGUGUCGGCCACGGUGCGACCGUUGUCGGUGCCGUAGGGAAGCCGUGAAGCGAGC
Molecule: ribosomal RNA, 584 nt
Filed under: uncultured archaeon
Lineage: Archaea
Description: bacterial SSU rRNA
Rfam family: Archaeal small subunit ribosomal RNA
Source: RNAcentral